UAUAAAAUUGGGGUUGUGGUGAUCCUUGUACAACUAUAAAUGUAAUAAAAUAUAUUGAGUUUAAAAAAUAAAACCCUUGAGGCUGUAUGUAUCCUAGAAUUAAGACAUUUUCAAUUUUUAAAGAAAGGUUAAAUAGAGAAUAUAUAUGUUAUACAUACCCCAUAACAGAGUUUGAACUGUGGAAUCAAAUGUACUAACAAUUCUGCAAGAAAGUAUAGGAAAAUACACACUUUGAAUAAACAAAGACUAGAAAUAGCCACACAGUAGUUCAGGUAAAGUUUUGCCAUCAAGGGACUUUAAGUCAGAUCAGGCGUCAAAUGAGUUAUAGAAAACUUGUGUUUCAGCUGGAACUGCCUUAGUGUUUUGCCAGGUAUUACAGUACAUAGUAAAUUUUCAAAGACAUUGUCUUAUUACUAAUAUUAUUAUUUAAUAAAAACACUUAUUGAGUGCCUACCACAUGCUACUUAUUUUGACACAUAUUAUUAUCAUAUGUCAUAUGGAACAUCUUGAUUAAGGUCAGAGCCCCUUCUUUCUUGUAAGGCUCUGAUUAAUUCUUUAUUUUUAAGACUGAGUGAAAUCUUCAGAACUUGAGGAGACAGGUGCCAGUCAGAUUUUUUUCUAACAAUUUAAAACAUUUUUAUCUUCUGGAUAACCUUAACAUUCAGAUAUGGAUGACAAUGAUUUAUUUUUUUUUAAGUUUUUAUUUAUGUACAAUUGACAAGGUUGUAAGGUAUAUAAGGUAUAUAAUGUGUUGGUUUGAUAAAUGUAUACAGCAGUAUGAAAGAAUUCCUUCCAUCAAGUUAAUUAACACACCCAUCACCUCACAUAUUUACCUUUUUUUUUUUUUUGAUGAGAACAUUUAAGUUCUACUCUCUUUGCAAAUUUCGAUGAUAGAAUACAGUGCCAUCAACUAUAGCCACCAAGUUGUACAUUAGAUACUGAUUCAUGGUGAUGAAGGCUUCAAGCAGAAGUGGAAAUGAUAGGUGGUGUAGAUAGCCAGUUGCAGCAUUCUGUCUCCUCCUUGAGCCACUGAGAAGGGGCAUCUUAUAUUGUCUCCCAGAUAUUACAUAGUAGCAAACUAUGUGAAAAAUGUCAUGACAAGUUACAAAAUACACAAACUGCCGAAAACCCCAUGCUCUUGUUUUCUUCCCUACUUAAUUUAUAUAAAUUGCACUUCAAGAUUUGUGCAGAGGAACACAUGAUACCAUCCACUGCUUAUAACAGUUUAUUGAAUCUAUGUUCAUAGAUGAAAGAAGCCUUGUUCCAAGCUAACUGGCCAAGGCCUUGACGUUCAGGGUAGCCCUCAUGUACUUUAAACCUAAAUGUAUUCAGUGACCUGCCUAAAUGAUAAAAGAGGUCAUCAUAAUUUUUUUUCAGCAAAAUUUCUCUAAGACGACUGACCCCUAGUUUUAUUUUUUUUUAAUUUACUGUUUAAUGAUUACAGUCCAAACAAAAUAAAUAUCCUAUAAAUUUUUGUGUAAGUAGGUUGGCCCCUGGUUUUCAUUAUUUUAUUGUUAAAUAACCUCAGGUUGAAUACAAGAAUAGUGUAUAUAAAUAUAUAUAUACAUAUAGAAGUAUGGGAAAUACAUAUUUAUAUAUCAUGGAUAUAAAAUAUAUCCAUAGACAGAAAUAUAGACAUCCCCUGUAAAAAGCCUGUCUAGACUUUUUUUCCCAAAAAACCUUUUUUCAGGACACAUCUCCUCUAUCCACUCACUGAAAUGUGAAAUUCACUCAGGAGGCCACUUUAUUUCCAGCUUAAAAUUCCUAAUGUUCUGAGCACUUGAUAUGGUGCCCUUUAGGAUUACAGCCAGUUGAACUUAAAUUCUGUGGCCAUUACCCCACAAGGUACAUUGGGCUGUGAAACAAGCUCUUAAAGGAAAGUAGUUUUUCAAGUUACAUUAUGGUGCUUUGAAAGGGAAUAAAAUCCUUAAUGAGAAAAUGAGUCUCUUGAGACUUCUGGCUCCAAGGUCAGCUCUGCACACUUGCCCUCUUGGUUGGCAAAGAAUCUGUUAAGGGACAUUGCAGGGAGCCCAUUCUCUAAAAGGUCCAGGAUGAAAUAGGAUGACAAUCUGUUCCCUGGAGCCUUUGUGGGGCAACUUUAUUAUUCUUUGACAGAUUUCCUCAGAAGCUGUUCCCACACAACAAUACCCAGUCACCAGCCUCUCCCGUGGCUACAGACCAACCAAGGAAGGUGAAACUGGGUUGCUAAGGAACCUGUUGCAACAGCACUUGAUGGAACUAACACUUGUCAGCUAAUAACAGUUCAGCGUGAAUAAACUUAUCAGUAUCCUCCCAAGCGCAUUAAUACAUUGUCAGCUUCUGCAAGGCUUGGGCCCCAUGUUUAUUUAUCUUUAUUUCUAUCCACACCUAGUGCAGUGCUAAGCAAAUGUUUUUGGAGUGUCAGCUGAGGUCAGCCUGCUCUACAAUACUGCCUUCAGCUGCCUCUUCCUGGUUGGGAGUGAGGAGGAGGAAGAGGGGCUUUUUCUAGUUCCUGUUGCUCAUUGUUUGAGUCUAUGCUGUCCAAGAUGUGGCUGCUUUGGGAGGACACAGAACUGGAGGGAGACCAAACUUAUCUGGACCUUAGCGAUUGAUUAAGAAGAAAAUGAUGCUUCAAAUUCAAAAUCAUUCACCAAAUGGGGGAAGUAAAUAACUAUCGUCAGUUAAGGAAGGAAGCAACAUUGAUGACAAUGCCUCAAGGUAAAACCUGCAACAAUCUUGGCAUAUUUCAGGAAAUCCAGGGAUAAGAAAUUCAACCAGGCUUUGCAAGAGACUAAAGCUAAGGGCAUCCAAACCAAGGCAGUCAAGACAACCCAGAAACCAAGGUGCAUGGACAGCAUACACACUGUGAAGUUAUCCUUAUCUGCUUGACUUCUGAGUAUUUCCAGUCAAGGCUGUGGACAAUGAAGAGGUCACAAUCUCAUGAUCUGUUGUCAUGUGCCUGCCUCAGGCAGAGAACACUUCAGACACUUGCGUGGUGCCAGAAUACCGAUUCCGGAGAAGCUGAGGCAACAUAAUAUUCUUCCCAGAAAAACAUGCCACUUUUUUUUUUCAUCCUCUCUUUAAAAUUCUUUGUUUAGUUUGAUUAGAGUUCCACAUCAGAGGCAUUUUCUAGGGCAUGGGACCUGCCUGCUUGGGAACUCCCCACUGUGCUUAUGUAAGCCCUGUUCACCCAGUCUGAGCUGCUGGAGCUCAGAACAACUCUAGGGCAUUUUUGUUUUCUGUUUUAUAUCUCGUUUGUUCUUUCCCUUUGUUCUCGUUCAUUCAGAGGAAGGUGUGUGCUAAUGCCAACUUGUUAGAAGUGUACCCAGCAGGAGAAGGAAAUGAGCUGUUUGGAUUCUUUAAAAUAGUUCUUGCUUAUUUGCCCAGGGCUUUAGAUUACAAUUAGAUGGUAGUCUUUCCAUCGACAUAAGGGGCUCACUCCUCAAAGAGCUUAGGUCAGAGAUUUCAGUUGCUCAGUGAACACCAAUAGACUUUGAUGGUUUGCCCCAACUCUCUGGUAAUUAGCUCAUACCCCACCUCCCCUGCCUGGUAAAAAUGUUUCUUGUCUCUUCUUUCUACACCAGGGCUAUCUUCAAAAAAAAAAUAGAUACGUUGGAGAUUGACUGACUCUGAAAUUUUGUUUGGAAAAUGCUGGAUUCUGGCAUGAGUUGUAUUUCCUAUCUUGCUUCUCUCUACUCUCUGGCCUUGCCUCUUGGAAUAGGUUAAAAGCAAAAGGAAGUGCUGAGCUAAAUUUAUAAUCUGGGAGUAUUUUUUAAAGUUAAAUUUUAGAAUAUAGCAUCAGAAAAGGAGCGAAAAUAAAUGAACAUCCUUGCAAAGCAUUUGAAGAGCUAGUGUUUUGGACCAAAGCUCAUGUUUAGCUUAUUGUCCAAUGCAACUUCCAGGUUUAGCCGCUUUUGAUUGAUGCCUUUUGUUUUUACAUGUUUGUGCUCUCUCUGGAACACAAAGAUAGUCUUCCAAGACACUGGAAAGCAUUUCAUGGUGAUAGGAAGGGAACUCCUAUAACAUCUUCUUGUGCCAGAUAAACCAUCCUGAGCCAUUUAUUCUCCUACUUCAAACAUUUUCCCUUCAUAUCCAGAAAAGAGCCCAAUUUUAAGUAGCAGGACUUAGAACAAAGAACCAGUGGAGACAGGGAUUAUGAUUUUCCACAGUUAUUACUCAGAAAGGUUAAGUAUGUUUUACUCAAUUAAGCACAGAUGAGCCCCUGUGCACCACUGGUUUGUAAUAGCCCUAAUUGAUUCUGAGGCGAGAUCUCUGGUCAGAGUCAAGCCAGAUGUAAGCUUUGUUAGUGAUGUUGAUGGAAUGACCCCAGGAAGCUUCAUUUUUAUGGCUUUGAUAUAAAAAAAAAGUCCAAGGAGCUUGCCCAGGCUUCUCUGCUUCCUUAAUUAUAUUUUUGAUAAUUUAUUUUACCAAUUGACUUCUAGCCAGGCCAGGUUAUGUUUGAUCUUGAUGAGGCUGCAGAUUUGCAGGAGAGGAGGAAAUGUCCUUGCUCAUUAUCUUCUAGUCUGGCUUUAUCAGAUCUGUUUUCUGGAAACUGUAUGCAAAUUCUGGUUCUUAGAGGUUUUCUCUAAAAAAAUCACUCCUUCCUUUCUCUCCCUUCUUUUGAAUCAUUUCAUUAGCGUAGGGUGAAUAGUCUGUCUCCUGGCUUCUAAUCACUGACGUGGAGAUUUCACCAUUAGCUGCUUAUUCUGCUGUCUUAAGGAUUCUCUUUCCAAGAUGAUUCAAAAACUAAUAUUGUUUUGUUAAAAUGAGGCUUUAGGUAGAAGAUUGGGUUAAAAUCAAAUUCCAUUAGAUAUAGCAAUCCAGUUAAUUUAGAAUUCUCUAUUCUUAGAAUUUUACUAAUGAAAUGUAGAAAUAUUUUGAUACAGGUUUUUAUUCCUGAUAAUAUUUCCAGAUUGGACUCAGCAUCUAGCACCCUCUUCCUGUCUCCUUCUGGAAAGGAGACAGGAAGAGAAGGCAGAGAGUAAGCAAAUGAGGCUAAGUUUUCUGUCAUGAGGCAGAAUGUGGACUUAAGUGAUAAAUAAAGUUUUAUGUUUUUGUUUUUUUCUUCAGCACUGGAGUUUGUGGGCUCUAGGGCUCAUAUUUAUGAUAGGUUUUCUAUUAUAUUCUGUUAUAAAUAUUUGUUACAGGAGUUCAAUCCUGUCGAUUCACAUAGGUAUGCUCUCUUAGAAUGCAAGUAACUCUGGGAAAUGAAAAAUAUUAAGUCCUUCCUACCUCAAUACCCUUCAAGAUAUAGUUCUUGCAGAGAAAAAAAAAAAUGUUGGAAUCCAGGACGUAUUCAGUUUAUGUGUGUAGUUACUGAUGGGCAAAGAUAAAUAGUCUGUAUAUGUUUCUUUGGAGGAGAGGGUGUAGGUUCAGAGAGAGGGGAGGGAUGUGGUCCUGAGAACACACUUUAUGUAUGAAAAUUUCGACCUCCAGCUCAAGACUUUUCAGAGUUCUCUGUCACCUUUAGCAGCAGGUAAUUCAUAUUCAAUGGGUUUAUGAAUAAAUAUUUUAUUCUGGUAAAGAGAAAGCCCACAGGCCCCAAAAGGUGUUAGUUGUGCUAAAACCUAAGAUACCAAACCUAGAUUUAAUACCUAACCUAACUGCAGUUUAGACCUUCACCAAAAAUGAAAUCUUAAUUAACCAGUCUGGCUUUUUCUGGUCGGCACCAAUGAGAUAAUCUGCCCCAUGGGACCUCUCCAUGGCCCAUAGGAAGAAGAGGCAAUUUGAAUGAUAAAACCCUUGCUGUUCUCUACACCACCAACCAAAAAAAAAGAUAUCCUGCCCCCCUCCAAAAGUCACCCUUUCCCACCCCUUUUUCUUUUUUUGCUAACAGCUCCCUUGCCCCACCCUUCUUCCUAUAAAAUUCUUCCAUGUGUACAAUCCCUUGCAUUGUCCCUUCAGUUGCUAGAUGGACAGCUGCCCGAUUCAUGAAUUGCUCAAUAAAGCCAAGAUCUUCAAACUUC
Non-coding RNA from Sus scrofa (pig), 5945 nucleotides. Lineage: Eukaryota; Metazoa; Chordata; Mammalia; Artiodactyla; Suidae. The record is from RefSeq and is a predicted model, not a curated record.